RNAcentral lists this ribosomal RNA (253 nucleotides) under uncultured bacterium. RNAcentral describes it as "partial 16S ribosomal RNA". It matches the Rfam family "Bacterial small subunit ribosomal RNA", at positions 524 to 776 of the family's 1533-position model. The record is from RNAcentral.
UACGUAGGUGGCAAGCGUUAUCCGGAUUUACUGGGUGUAAAGGGCGUGUAGGCGGGAUGGUAAGUCAGAUGUGAAAACUAUGGGCUCAACCCAUAGCCUGCAUUUGAAACUAUCGUUCUUGAGUGUUGGAGAGGCAGGCGGAAUGCGCGGUGUAGCGGUGAAAUGCAUAGAUAUCGCGCAGAACCCCGAUUGCGAAGGCAUCUCACGAAUCCGCUAUUGACGCUGAUGCACGAAAGCGUGGGUAUCAAACAGG